UGGCGGGGGAGCACCACAAGGGGUGAAGCCUGCGGUUCAAUUGGAGUCAACGCCAGAAAUCUUACCCGGAGAGACAGCAGAAUGAAGGUCAAGCUGAAGACUUUACCAGACAAGCUGAGAGGUGGUGCAUGGCCGUCGCCAGCUCGUGCCGUGAGAUGUCCUGUUAAGUCAGGUAACGAGCGAGAUCCCUGCCACUAGUUGCUAUCAUUAUUCUCAGGAAUAGUGGGGCGAAUUAGUGGGACUGCCGUUGUUAAAACGGAGGAAGGAAGGGGCUACGGCAGGUCAGUAUGCCCCGAAACUCUGGGGCCACACGCGGGCUGCAAUGGUAGUGACAAUGAGUUCCAAACUCGAAAGAGAGUGGCAAUCUCCAAACACUACCACAGUUAAGACUGAGGGCUGUAACUCGCCCUCACGAAUAUGGAAUCCCUAGUAACCGCGUGUCAUUACCGCGCGGUGAAUACGUCCCUGCUCCUUGCACACACCGCCA
Molecule: ribosomal RNA, 487 nt
Filed under: uncultured archaeon
Lineage: Archaea
Description: bacterial SSU rRNA
Rfam family: Archaeal small subunit ribosomal RNA
Source: RNAcentral